This 448-nucleotide ribosomal RNA is filed under the name uncultured bacterium. Its description in RNAcentral is "bacterial SSU rRNA". It matches the Rfam family "Bacterial small subunit ribosomal RNA", at positions 330 to 793 of the family's 1533-position model. The record is from RNAcentral.
UCCAGACUCCUACGGGAGGCAGCAGUGGGGGAUAUUGCACAAUGGGGGGAACCCUGAUGCAGCGACGCCGCGUGGGUGAAGGAGCGUUUCGGCGCGUAAAGCCCUAUCGGCAGGGAAGAAGGAGGACGGUACCUGACUAAGAAGCCCCGGCUAACUACGUGCCAGCAGCCGCGGUAAUACGUAGGGGGCAAGCGUUAUCCGGAUUUACUGGGUGUAAAGGGGGCGCAGACGGCGGCGCAAGCCAGGAGUGAAAGCCCGGGGCCCAACCCCGGGACUGCUCUUGGAACUGCGCGGCUGGAGUGCAGGAGGGGCAGGCGGAAUUCCUGGUGUAGCGGUGAAAUGCGUAGAUAUCAGGAGGAACACCGGUGGCGAAGGCGGCCUGCUGGACUGCGACUGACGUUGAGGCCCGAAAGCGUGGGGAGCAAACAGGAUUAGAUACCCGCGUAAG